This 447-nucleotide long non-coding RNA is filed under the name Pan troglodytes (chimpanzee). Its description in RNAcentral is "lincRNA". The record is from RNAcentral. Lineage: Eukaryota; Metazoa; Chordata; Mammalia; Primates; Hominidae.
ACAUACCUGCCUACCUGGGUCCAGUUGUGUCCUGUGACUCCUGCUUUCCUGGGACAGGCAGGCUGCUCCGUGCCUCCUGGCCAUCCUCCUGGGUGCUGGACACUGCAGGCUGCUCCAUGCCUGUUGGCCAUUCCCUUUGGUGCUGGACAGCACUCACAUUGUGAAAUCCACUGGCCCUGUGAAAAACACCUGGAAAUGUUACCGGGAGAGGGGUUAGUUCUCUUUUUGGCAACCCAUGUUAUUGCUUAUGGCUUAAUAUCUGUGCCUCCAAGAUCCCUUCUCUCUGCCUUCAUCGAUGCCAGGAAAGCAGUCACCUUUUGCCUUUCUUUGCUUCUCAGCAAGUGGCAUGUCUCCAUGUCACUUUAAGCAUCAAGCACAUGGAGCCCAAUAAGAUGCUGAAAAGUGUCUGCCUACAAGGUUACAAGGUGGUGGAGACAUUCUGAGCCG